AGGGAACAUUAUAGAGUUGUGAAAAACUCCCCAACCCAUGUGAACUACUNUNUGCCUCGGCGGAGCCUACCCUGGAGCGAGCUACCCGGGAGCGGUCCGCCGGUGGAUUUUAAACUCUUGUCAUUUCGGCGAAUCUGAGCGUCUUAUUUAAAAUAAGUUAAAACUUUCAACAACGGAUCUCUUGGUUCUGGCAUCGAUGAAGAACGCAGCGAAAUGCGAUAAGUAAUGUGAAUUGCAGAAUUCAGUGAAUCAUCGAAUCUUUGAACGCACAUUGCGCCCAUUAGUAUUCUAGUGGGCAUGCCUGUUCGAGCGUCAUUUCAACCCCUAAGCCCAGCUUAGUGUUGGGAAUCUACUGUUUGGGCGGACCUACCCUGUAGCGUCUCACCCUGUAGCUCCUAAAAGUCAACGGCGGAACUCUGGUGUCCUCUGAGCGUAGUAAUUUAUCUCGCUUUUGUCAGGCACUGUAGCUUUUGCCGCUAAACCCCCUAUUUCUAAUGGUUGACCUCGGAUCAGGUAGGAAUACCCGCUGAACUUAAGCAUAUCAAUAAGCGGAGGAAAAGAAACCAACAGGGAUUGCCUUAGUAACGGCGAGUGAAGCGGCAACAGCUCAAAUUUGAAAUCUGGCCGUCGGGUCCGAAUUGUAAUUUGUAGAGGAUGCUUUUGGUUAGGUACCUUCCGAGUUCCCUGGAACGGGACGCCUUAGAGGGUGAGAGCCCCGUACGGUUGGAUGCCGAGCCUUUGUAAAGCUCCUUCGACGAGUCGAGUAGUUUGGGAAUGCUGCUCUAAAUGGGAGGUAAAUUUCUUCUAAAGCUAAAUACCGGCCAGAGACCGAUAGCGCACAAGUAGAGUGAUCGAAAGAUGAAAAGUACUUUGAAAAGAGGGUUAAACAGCACGUGAAAUUGUUGAAAGGGAAGCGUUUAUGACCAGACUUUUUCUAGGCGGAUCAUCCGGUGUUUUCACCGGUGCACUUUGCCUAGUAGAGGCCAGCAUCGGUUUCUGUAGGAGGAUAAAACUGUCAGGAAUGUGNCUCUCUUUGGGAGUGUUAUAGCCUGACAGAUAAUACUCUUGGGGGGACCGAGGUUCGC
RNAcentral lists this ribosomal RNA (1085 nucleotides) under Xylariales sp. 7S-Cj3-2-1. RNAcentral's name for it is "eukaryotic LSU rRNA". The stretch from base 500 to 1085 matches the Rfam family "Eukaryotic large subunit ribosomal RNA", at positions 1 to 597 of the family's 3401-position model. The record is from RNAcentral. Lineage: Eukaryota; Fungi; Ascomycota; Sordariomycetes; Xylariales.